AACGAACGCUGGCGGCAUGCCUAACACAUGCAAGUCGAACGAGACCUUCGGGUCUAGUGGCGCACGGGUGCGUAACGCGUGGGAACCUGCCCUUAGGUUCGGAAUAACUCCCCGAAAGGGGUGCUAAUACCGGAUAAUGUCUUCGGACCAAACAUUUAUCGCCUUUGGAUGGGCCCGCGUUGGAUUAGCUAGUUGGUAGGGUAAAAGCCUACCAAGGCGACGAUCCAUAGCUGGUCUGAGAGGAUGAUCAGCCACACUGGGACUGAGACACGGCCCAGACUCCUACGGGAGGCAGCAGUGGGGAAUAUUGGACAAUGGGCGAAAGCCUGAUCCAGCAAUGCCGCGUGAGUGAUGAAGGCCUUAGGGUUGUAAAGCUCUUUUACCCGGGAUGAUAAUGACAGUACCGGGAGAAUAAGCUCCGGCUAACUCCGUG
RNAcentral lists this ribosomal RNA (433 nucleotides) under uncultured bacterium. Its description in RNAcentral is "partial 16S ribosomal RNA". It matches the Rfam family "Bacterial small subunit ribosomal RNA", at positions 29 to 507 of the family's 1533-position model. The record is from RNAcentral.